GCUUGAACCCGGGCCUGGUGGCACAUGCCUGCAGUCCCACUUGGGAAGCUGAGGCAGGAGGAUUGCUCAAGCCUAGGAGUUCUGGGCUGUAGUGUGUUAGACUGAUUGGGUGUCUGCACUGAGUUCAGCAUCAAUAUGGUGACCUCCCAGGAGCGGAGGACCACCAAGUUGCCUAAGGAGGGGUGAACCAGUGGGUCGGAAACAGAGCAGGUCCAAAUUCCCGUGGUGAUCAAAAAGGACAGUUGCAGACACGGGGAGGACUUGGUAGUCCCAGCUCCAGGCUGGAUCUGAGCGUGCCUUUCCUCU
Unclassified non-coding RNA from Rhinopithecus bieti (black snub-nosed monkey), 306 nucleotides. It matches the Rfam family "Metazoan signal recognition particle RNA". Rfam says of the family: The signal recognition particle (SRP) is a universally conserved ribonucleoprotein. It is involved in the co-translational targeting of proteins to membranes. The eukaryotic SRP consists of a 300-nucleotide 7S RNA and six proteins: SRPs 72, 68, 54, 19, 14, and 9. The record is from Ensembl. NCBI's taxonomy places the organism in Eukaryota, Metazoa, Chordata, Mammalia, Primates, Cercopithecidae.